RNAcentral lists this ribosomal RNA (872 nucleotides) under uncultured organism. RNAcentral describes it as "bacterial SSU rRNA". It matches the Rfam family "Bacterial small subunit ribosomal RNA", at positions 8 to 858 of the family's 1533-position model. The record is from RNAcentral.
AGAGUUUGAUCCUGGCUCAGGACGAACGCUGGCGGCGUGCCUAAGCUUAUGCAAGUCGAACGCGAACGGCUCCUUCGGGAGCCUAGUAGAGUGGCAAACGGGUGAGUAACGCGUGGGUAACGUACCCUGAUCCUGGGAAUAACCCUCGGAAACGAGGGCUAAUACCGAAUGUGGCGAACGACCGGUUGGUCGCUCGCUAAAGGUGGCCUCUUCUAUGCUGCCGGGUUGGGAUCGGCCCGCGUCCCAUUAGCUAGUUGGUGAGGUAACGGCUCACCAAGGCCACGAUGGGUAGCCGGCCUGAGAGGGUGUACGGCCACACUGGCACUGAGACAAGGGCCAGUCCCCUAUGGGAGGCGCAGGCGGGAAUAGUUCACAAUGGGCGAAAGCCUGAUGACGCGACGCCGCGUGAGCGAAGAAGACCUUCGGGUUGUAAAGCUCUGUCAGGAGGGAAGAAGGCUCUACGGGUUAAUAGCCCGUGGAAUUGACGGUACCUCCAGAGGAAGCCCCGGCUAAAUACGUGCCAGCAGCCGCGGUAAUACGUAUGGGGCAAGCGUUGUCCGGAUUUACUGGGCGUAAAGGGCGCGUAGGCGGUUUGUUAAGUCGAAGGUGAAAUCCUCGGGCUCAACUCGAGAAUUGCCUUCGAUACUGGCAAACUAGAGUGGCGGAGAGGAAAGCGGAACUCUUGGUGUAACGGUGGAAUGUGUAGAUAUCAAGAGGAACACCGGUGGCGAAGGCGGCUUUCUGGACGCACACUGACGCUCAGGCGCGAAAGCGUGGGUAGCGAACAGGAUUAGAUACCCUGGUAGUCCACGCCAUAAACGAUGGGUACUAGGUGUCGGGGGUAUCGACCCCUCCGGUGCCGCAGUUAACGC